UUAAAGGUAUUUUCCGGUAGACGAUGGGGAUGCGUUCCAUUAGAUAGUAGGCGGGGUAACGGCCCACCUAGUCAACGAUGGAUAGGGGUUCUGAGAGGAAGGUCCCCCACAUUGGAACUGAGACACGGUCCAAACUCCUACGGGAGGCAGCAGUGAGGAAUAUUGGUCAAUGGGCGAUGGCCUGAACCAGCCAAGUAGCGUGAAGGAUGACUGCCCUAUGGGUUGUAAACUUCUUUUAUAAAGGAAUAAAGUCGGGUAUGCAUACCCGUUUGCAUGUACUUUAUGAAUAAGGAUCGGCUAACUCCGUGCCAGCAGCCGCGGUAAUACGGAGGAUCCGAGCGUUAUCCGGAUUUAUUGGGCUUAAAGGGAGCGUAGAUGGAUGUUUAAGUCAGUUGUGAAAGUUUGCGGCUCAACCGUAAAAUUGCAGUUGAUACUGGAUGUCUUGAGUGCAGUUGAGGCAGGCGGAAUUCGUGGUGUAGCGGUGAAAUGCUUAGAUAUCACGAAGAACUCCGAUUGCGAAGGCAGCCUGCUAAGCUGCAACUGACAUUGAGGCUCGAAAGUGUGGGUAUCAAACAGGAUUAGAUACCCUGGUAGUCCACACGGUAAGCGAUGAAUACUCGCUGUUUGCGAUAUACGGCAAGCGGC
RNAcentral lists this ribosomal RNA (645 nucleotides) under uncultured bacterium. Its description in RNAcentral is "bacterial SSU rRNA". It matches the Rfam family "Bacterial small subunit ribosomal RNA", at positions 201 to 847 of the family's 1533-position model. The record is from RNAcentral.